RNAcentral lists this ribosomal RNA (372 nucleotides) under uncultured eukaryote. RNAcentral's name for it is "partial 18S ribosomal RNA". It matches the Rfam family "Eukaryotic small subunit ribosomal RNA", at positions 592 to 976 of the family's 1831-position model. The record is from RNAcentral.
CAAUAGCGUAUAUUAAAGUUGUUGCAGUUAAAAAGCUCGUAGUUGGAUUUCUGGGAGAGUGGCGAUGUCCGCUUAACGUGUGUGCAGCGACGCUCUUCCAUCCUUCUGUUAGCGUCUCUCGGCAUUCAUUUGUCGGUGGCGGGCUCAGAUAUCUUACCUUGAGAAAAUUAGAGUGUUUCAGGCAGGCUAGGCCGGAAUACAUUAGCAUGGAAUAAUGGAAUAGGACUACGGUCUCUUUGUUGGUUUGAGGGACUGCAGUAAUGAUUAAUAGGGAUAGUUGGGGGCAUUAGUAUUUAAUUGUCAGAGGUGGAAUUCUCAGAUUUGUUAAAGACUAACUUAUGCGAAAGCAUUUGCCAAGGAUGUUUNCAUUAA